This 4325-nucleotide long non-coding RNA is filed under the name Anolis carolinensis (green anole). Its description in RNAcentral is "lncRNA (ENSACAG00000045183.1)". The record is from RNAcentral. Lineage: Eukaryota; Metazoa; Chordata; Lepidosauria; Squamata; Anolidae.
AUCACGGACUUACCGUUAAAAAGAUAGAGAUGCCACCAUCCGAUAAUACUGAUGGAAACACUGACUUCCAAACUGAAAGUGAACCCAAAGGAAAUAACGGCCAAAGCAAUACUCAGAAAAGGGCCUCAAAAAGUGGCCCGAGGAUGGCGCCAUCUGUGAAAACAAUAGGAUCCAAGCCUGCCUAUCUGAGCUCCAAAGAAGGAGUCCAGGAGAAAGGUUUAGCUGCCAUAAUUUCAGAAAAACUGGACCAGUCUAUUAAACAGUACUGCUCUGAGAAAAACUCCUUGUAUAACACAUCGAUGCUGCUGUGUGUUCUGCUGAUCUCUCUCCUCUUCAGCCUUCUCUGCCAGUUGUUUGAGAUCUCCAAGGUUCUGCGAAUCCAGCUUCUGCCUAUGUCUCCGUUUAUCCGCAUCUAUCGAAUCUUUGCCUGGAUGGGUGAAAAGCCUGUGAACAUCAUGACUUCCCUGAAGCAAGGAAUCUUUGCUCUGUUACCUUCCAUCCUGCGUAAAAAAGAGAAAAAGGACUUCUGGGACGAAUAAUAUGUGUGAGGAAAAUUAAAAUGUAGCUACUCCACCAAGUAAAGCAAAAGUAAUGCAUUCUUGUAACAAUCACACACUUGUCGGGAUUACUGAAAUGUGUUUCAUUGCUAUUAUUUCAGGUUGGCAGUUUUAAAGAGUGAGAAGUUGCAUCUGUUAUAUUAUUUCAGUUUUGUCCACGUCACAAGGAAGUGGUGGAACCAAAAUCUUAACAUUGCAAUCUUAUUCUUUGUUCUAGGUAAAUGUAUCAAAGUACAGUAGAGUCUCACUUAUCCAACACUCGCUUAUCCAACAUUCUGGAUUAUUCAACGCAUUUUUGUAGUCAAUGUUUUCAAUACUUUGAUAUUUUGGUGCUAAAUUCGUAAAUACAGUAAUUACAACAUAACAUUACUGCGUAUUGAACUACUUUUUCUGCCAAAUUUGUUGUUAAACAUGAUGUUUUGGUGCUUCAUUUGUAAAAUCAUAACCUGAUUUGAUGUUUAAUAGGCUUUUCCUUAAUGCCUCCUUAUUAUCCAACAUAUUCGCUUAUCCAACAUUCUGCCAGCCCGUUUAUGUUAGAUAAGUGAGACUCUACUGUAUACUGUUCUAUUACAUACGUGGAUAAGCUGCAACCUUUCAGGUAUUGUUGGACUGUACCUCUCUGCAUUCCUCAUCAUUUAAAAUGUUAGCUCUGGUUGCUGGAACUUUUCAGUUGAACCUCUUUGCCUACCUCUUUUCUAUUAAAACAAAGAGGCUUUAUAGUCAUGUAGCCUACCAAUUACCUUUACUACUUUGAGUAAAAAGUAUUCUCAACAUAUGCACACCUUACAACAGUAAAUUCCUACUAUUAUUUCAAUGUUAGCUUUUUCUAAGUGUAUUAGUGAAGAAAUUAUAUCACAUUGAACAUUCUGUCUUUUAGAUAAAUGUGUUUUCAUUAUUUAAAUCUAAGAGUACUUAUAGCAGCUUCCUCUUCCUCCUAUUUCCAAUAUAGAGCUUAUGGCAAAGUGGUAUUAUGUCUGUAUGGAUAAUAAUGUUGUUAGUUUUAACCACAAAUGGCAAAUACAGGUUGAACAUCCUUUGAAUUCCAAAAUCCUCCACAUGGAUGACUGAUGCCUUUGUUUUCUAGUGGCUCAAUGUACACAAAUUUUGUUUCGUGCAUUUUUUUAAAAAAAGAAUUGCAUAUAAAAUUAUCUUUAGAUUAUGUAUCAGUUGUUUCUGAAACAUAAAUACAUUCUGAGAUAGCUCAUUAUAAAUAUGUAAAUAUUCAAAAUCUGAAAAAUUCAAAAUAUGGAAUAUGGUACUUCUGCUCCAAAGUAUUUUGGAUAAGGGAUACUUAACCUCUAAUGUCUAAAGCGAGCUUCCCAAUUAGAGUUAAUGUUAAAACUGUAUGCAGAUACGAUGCAUUAUAGUUGUGACCAAGACAAUGUCUGUGCACAGGUUUCCUUUCUAUUCCAAGCAAUUAAGAAAGUAGCAACAAUGUAUCAACACAACAUUUAUAUGCUUUCUUGAAUGUUGAAUUGUGAUGGCUUAUAGUGAUGGCUAUUAUUUACUAUGUGCUAUUAAUUAUUUCUCAAUUGUUAAGUCAGGAAAAACAGUAGUCUGAUAUAUUAUGAUUAAUAUGAAAGAUUUCAGUUUCAGAUACUACCUCAUUAAAUGUAUUGUGCUAAGUAUAUAAAAAGCUUGAUAUAUUUGGAGCCUAUUUAAACAGUAAUGAGUGAAACACUUUAAGCUGCCCUUCAAAACCUUCUGAAUAUCUAGCUAUGCUGUCUAGAAUUGAAUUACAAAGUUACGAUGUUAUAGAUAACUGCUAUAAAUGUAUUGAAAAGCUAUUUUUUGAGAUUUGCACUAGAUAUUAAAAUGUAUUUUCUUGCACUUCUUUUCAUUCAGCUAUAUUCCUUGAUGUCUUCAGUGCCAGUUCAUAAGCAGUUUUAUUCUAAUUUCAGUUUUAAUAUAUCUGCUCUGUUUGUUUAUUUUUUCAGAGCUUUUUCACAAGUACCUUGUGUAUCAGUAUCCUUCUAUCCCAAAUCUUUUGAGUUUCAAGUCAGUAUUCCCUCAGUAUCAAAGGAUUGGAUGCAAACAUGAAAACUAAAUAAUUUUACUAAGGCAUACCCUUUCUUGGCUUUGGUUAACACACAUAUGGCAUUUUAUUUGCUGUCUGUGUCCCUGUUCAGAAGAUUUCACCUCACUUUCUGUCUCUGUGAUAAUUGGAUUUUGAAAAAAAAAAUUGGAUUGUUGUGGAAACAAGGAUUGGUGAUAAAAUUUCAGUGGAGACACCUUUCCCCUAAAACUCUUUCAGAAGCGAAUUUCCCUUCUGAUGGGUAGAUUUCUCUCACUUCCUGUUGCCUCAGCCCCAUUCUUAACUAUGAGUUAUUUGUAAGUUGGAUGUUUGUAACCUGGGGACUGCUUAUAUAGGGAAGUUUAUGCCACAAUAAAAUCUGUUUUGCUGUUAAAAUACCAGAACAUUUCUUAUGGAUUUGGCUGCAAUGAAUCACAUGCCCUUUCAUACCACACAGCUAUAACACUAUGAUUCUCCUUUAACUGCCAUGGCUACAACCUGCAGAAUCAUGGGCUUUGUAAUUUGGUGAGAUACGAGAGCUCUCUGUCUCAGCUCCUCUCUAAUCUGCAAAUCCCAGAAUGCCAUACAAUGUUUCCAUGGCCAUUAAAUUGUAUCAUAAUUGUGUAGUAUGGAACUGAUCUAAUGAGGCUAUACACUCUGGGAAAUUCCUACAUUAAAAACCAAAUUAUUCUUUGUUACUCAGAUAUUUGCUGCACUCCUUCUUAGAAGCAGACACGGAGCUCAGAAAAUAUACAUUUCUUUUCUUUAUUUGAGAAAUCCUGGGAAACAGGUCAACCCCACCAAUGAAUAAACUUUGAUUUGCUUGCUGUUAUUGUGUGUCUUCACGUCAUUUCAAGUUGACCCUAAGGCAAUGUUUCAAAUGGUCUCUUUACAUUUCAAUUCUGUAGCAACCAGAGAAAUUCACAAAAUUAGCCAGGAAAAAUUAAUAAAAAAUUCUGUGGAUAGGUAUCAACACCUCACCUCUGCUGAGUUUGCCUUUGGAUGGGCGGGGUGGAGCACAUAGUACAUAAAAGCAUAUAGUAUAUGAAAAUCUAUAGUGCAAACUUCAAACAAGACAUACAUAUAUGUGAGUGUAGAGACUGGCUUGCAAGUCAUUAUGGAUUUUGUGUGCUUGCAAAGUGUAAAAACACUGAAUACAGUGAAUAGUAAUGUAUGUGCAUGUCCCUUCAGUCUGCCUGCUGACGAAUGUCAUGAGUUCUCACAGCAUUUUCUUAGCCAAGGAAUACACAGAUGUGGUUUUGGUAGUUUGUUCUUCUGGAAUACAGCCCUAAGCACCUGAUAUUUAUUGGUAGUCUCUGAUCCAAAUAUUAUCAGAACUGACUCUGCUUAGUUUCAAAGAUCAGAAUGGAUCUGGUACUUUUAAAGUACUUGGGCAAGGAAAGCAGUUAUCAGUGCAACUACAAUGAAGUCAGUAACAAAAGUAAUAAAUGGCAUAAAGUGUUAUAAAAUUGUUUAAAGCAUAAAAUAAAUAUGCCAGUAAUACCCACUUGGAUGAGGAGCCCCUGAUGGUGUAGUGGGUUAAAACCUUGUGACUUGAAGGUUGGGUUGCUGACCUGAAGGCUGCCAGGUUCGAAUCCCACCUGGGGAGAGUGCAGAUGAACUCCCUCUUUCAGCUCCAACUCCAUGCAGGGACAUGAGAGAAGCCUCCCACAAAAAUGGUAAAAACAUCAAAACAUCCAGGCGUCCCCUGGGCAAUGUCCUAGCAGACGGCCAAUUCUCUCACACCAGAAGUG